This 246-nucleotide ribosomal RNA is filed under the name uncultured Eubacteriales bacterium. RNAcentral describes it as "uncultured Clostridiales bacterium partial 16S ribosomal RNA". It matches the Rfam family "Bacterial small subunit ribosomal RNA", at positions 88 to 334 of the family's 1533-position model. Lineage: Bacteria; Bacillati; Bacillota; Clostridia; Eubacteriales. The record is from RNAcentral.
CGGAUUAGCGGCGGACGGGUGAGUAACACGUGAGUAACCUGCCUUAGACAUUGGGAUAGCCUCGGGAAACCGGGAUUAAUACCAAAUAAAAUCAUAAUGACACAUGUCAUAACGAUCAAAACUCCGGUGGUCUAAGAUGGACUCGCGUCCCAUUAGCUAGUUAGUAGAGUAAAAGCCUACCAAGGCGACGAUGGGUAGCCGGCCUGAGAGGGUGAACGGCCACAUUGGAACUGAGAAACGGUCCAA